GCCUUCGUAGCUCAGGUGGUAGAGCACGUCCUUGGUAAGGACGGGGUCGUCAGUUCGAGUCUGAUCGAAGGCU
Molecule: transfer RNA, 73 nt
Filed under: Oligoflexales bacterium
Lineage: Bacteria; Pseudomonadati; Bdellovibrionota; Oligoflexia; Oligoflexales
Also listed under: 1 other name
Description: tRNA-Thr
Rfam family: tRNA
About the family: Transfer RNA (tRNA) molecules are approximately 80 nucleotides in length. Their secondary structure includes four short double-helical elements and three loops (D, anti-codon, and T loops).
Source: RNAcentral